Molecule: long non-coding RNA, 974 nt
Filed under: Callithrix jacchus (white-tufted-ear marmoset)
Lineage: Eukaryota; Metazoa; Chordata; Mammalia; Primates; Cebidae
Description: lncRNA (ENSCJAG00000051486.2)
Source: RNAcentral
UCAAAAUAUGCAUUAUAUAAACUUUCAGCUAGGUUUAUUGGAGACUAGGUAUGCUGGGAUGAGUACUAAAGAAAAGCUCUUGUUUGGCUUAGGAAUAAGAAGAUCAGCAUUUCCUUUCAUGUAGAGAAGGUUUCUAAGGCCUACUUUCUGAUAUCUUCUUACAUAAUAUGGGAUAAUUGCAUCUUUUUAAAAAUAGACCUAAUGCCCUUUGCCUGGGGCUAAAAAGAAAGCCUUUUUGGAGGUGAAUUCGUUCUACUUUUUAAAUCUAUAUCAUAUAAGCUAAGAAUCUUUGCGAGAAGACAAGCUGGCAUGCACGUACUUUUUUCUUUUCCUGUUUUUUUGGAUGGAUGACCCAUCAAAACUUGCCAAAAAUAUAAUUGAAAUAUGCAUUUUCAUCUGAUGGAGGAGUCUAUAAAUUGUUGGGUAAUCUUUUAGAGUUUUCCAAAUCUGGCAGUCUGCUUCAUGCACCAAGAGAGAACAUUCAUGAAGAAAAUGUAUUCUUCACUAGUUACUCAAUGUGAACAAAGAGGCUUCUUCACCCAGCCAAGAACUCAGCUAUAUCCUGCAUACAAGUAAUAGCCAUUAGUAUGUAGAACAACACAGAUUUUUAUCAAAGAUGAAGUGAAACAUGUCAUGUUUGUGUUUGUGGAGGCACUGCCUCCACAAACUGACUAUGUGAGGUCAGUGAAGACAGUUCUCUGAGAUGAGGCCGAAGCUUAAGGUAGGCAGCCAUAAGGAUGGUGGGAAGUGUUAAGAACCCUGCCACUGUUGAGACCAAAUAGGAGUCUGGAUACGCGGAAGAAACCUGCAGGAGACCCAGGGGGAUGUUUGCAACAUAUGGGAAGAAGGAGCUGCCCAAGAAAGGUGGCGCCCUGUCAAAGCCAAGUCUGAAUGAGUGGUCCCAUCUGACCCAAGCCACAGUUUCAGAAGCACAGCCUUGGAGGAGUAAGGACGGUGAGGAAACAGAUGCCUAG